GAUGAACGCUGGCGGCGUGCCUAAUACAUGCAAGUCGAGCGAACAGACGAGGAGCUUGCUCCUCAGACGUUAGCGGCGGACGGGUGAGUAACACGUGGAUAACCUACCUAUAAGACUGGGAUAACUUCGGGAAACCGGAGCUAAUACCGGAUAAUAUAUUGAACCGCAUGGUUCAAUAGUGAAUGACGGUUUUGCUGUCACUUAUAGAUGGAUCCGCGCCGCAUUAGCUAGUUGGUAAGGUAACGGCUUACCAAGGCAACGAUGCGUAGCCGACCUGAGAGGGUGAUCAGCCACACUGGAACUGAGACACGGUCCAGACUCCUACGGGAGGCAGCAGUAGGGAAUCUUCCGCAAUGGGCGAAAGCUUGACGGAGCAACGCCGCGUGAGUGAUGAAGGUCUUCGGAUCGUAAAACUCUGUUAUUAGGGAAGAACAAAUGUGUAAGUAACUAUGCACGUCCUGACGGUACCUAAUCAGAAAGCCACGGCUAACUACGUG
This 497-nucleotide ribosomal RNA is filed under the name uncultured bacterium. RNAcentral's name for it is "partial 16S ribosomal RNA". It matches the Rfam family "Bacterial small subunit ribosomal RNA", at positions 28 to 507 of the family's 1533-position model. The record is from RNAcentral.